Molecule: ribosomal RNA, 506 nt
Filed under: uncultured bacterium
Lineage: Bacteria
Description: bacterial SSU rRNA
Rfam family: Bacterial small subunit ribosomal RNA
Source: RNAcentral
AGUGAACGCUGGCGGCAGGCCUAAUACAUGCAAGUCGAACGGCAACACAGCAGAGCUUGCUCUGUGGGUGGCGAGUGGCGGACGGGUGAGGAAUACGUGGGAAUCUGCCCAGUCGUGGGGGAUAACGUAGGGAAACUUACGCUAAUACCGCAUGCGCCCUUCGGGGGAAAGCCGGGGACCUUCGGGCCUGGCGCGAUUGGAUGAGCCCACGUCGGAUUAGCUAGUUGGCGGGGUAAAGGCCCACCAAGGCGACGAUCCGUAGCUGGUCUGAGAGGAUGAUCAGCCACACUGGAACUGAGACACGGUCCAGACUCCUACGGGAGGCAGCAGUAGGGAAUAUUGGACAAUGGGCGCAAGCCUGAUCCAGCCAUGCCGCGUGAGUGAAGAAAGCCCUCGGGUUGUAAAGCUCUUUUGUCCGGAAAGAAAGCGCCGGGUUAAUACCCUGGUGUCCUGACGGUACCGGAAGAAUAAGCACCGGCUAACUUCGUGCCAGCAGCCGCGGUAAU